RNAcentral lists this ribosomal RNA (955 nucleotides) under uncultured fungus. RNAcentral's name for it is "LSU rRNA". It matches the Rfam family "Eukaryotic large subunit ribosomal RNA", at positions 62 to 1037 of the family's 3401-position model. The record is from RNAcentral. Lineage: Eukaryota; Fungi.
AAAACAACAGGGAUUGCCUCAGUAACGGCGAGUGAAGCGGCAACAGCUCAAAUUUGAAAUCUGGCUCUUUCAGGGUCCGAGUUGUAAUUUGUAGAGGAUGCUUCGGCGUAGGCUCCGGUCUAAGUUCCUUGGAACAGGACGUCAUAGAGGGUGAGAAUCCCGUAUGUGAUCGGCUGCCUUUGCCAUGUGAAGCUCCUUCGACGAGUCGAGUUGUUUGGGAAUGCAGCUCUAAAUGGGAGGUAAAUUUCUUCUAAAGCUAAAUACUGGCCAGAGACCGAUAGCGCACAAGUAGAGUGAUCGAAAGAUGAAAAGCACUUUGGAAAGAGAGUCAAAAAGUACGUGAAAUUGUUGAAAGGGAAGCGCUUGCAACCAGACCUGCCUGCAGUUGCUCAUCCGGGCUUUUGCCCGGUGCACUCUUCUGCUGUCAGGCCAGCAUCGGUUCGGGUGGUCGGAUAAAGGCUUCGGGAAUGUAGCUCCUCUCGAGGAGUGUUAUAGCCCGUUGCGAAAUGCGGCCAGCCUGAACUGAGGUCCGCGCUUCGGCUAGGAUGCUGGCGUAAUGGUUGUAAGCGGCCCGUCUUGAAACACGGACCAAGGAGUCUAACAUCUGUGCGAGUGUUUGGGUGUCAAACCCGUACGCGUAAUGAAAGUGAACGGCGGCGGGAACCCCUCGGGGUGCACCGUCGACCGAUCCUGAUGUCUUCGGAUGGAUUUGAGUAAGAGCAUAGCUGUUGGGACCCGAAAGAUGGUGAACUAUGCCUGAAUAGGGUGAAGCCAGAGGAAACUCUGGUGGAGGCUCGCAGCGGUUCUGACGUGCAAAUCGAUCGUCAAAUUUGGGCAUAGGGGCGAAAGACUAAUCGAACUAUCUAGUAGCUGGUUCCUGCCGAAGUUUCCCUCAGGACAGCAGUAACGUUUUCAGUUUUAUGAGGUAAAGCGAAUGAUUAGAGGCCUGGGGGUU